Molecule: ribosomal RNA, 253 nt
Filed under: uncultured bacterium
Lineage: Bacteria
Description: partial 16S ribosomal RNA
Rfam family: Bacterial small subunit ribosomal RNA
Source: RNAcentral
UACGGGGGGGGCAAGCGUUGUUCGGAAUUACUGGGCGUAAAGGGCUUGUAGGUGGCCAACUAAGUCAGACGUGAAAUCCCUCAGCUUAACUGGGGAACUGCGUCUGAUACCGGAUGGCUUGAGUUUGGGAGAGGGAUGCGGAAUUCCAGGUGUAGCGGUGAAAUGCGUAGAUAUCUGGAGGAACACCGGUGGCGAAGGCGGCAUCCUGGACCAACACUGACACUGAUGAGCGAAAGCCAGGGGAGCAAACGGG